GGUCCUCAAACCAUUCCUGAACAAAUCUUGCAAUAUGGCAGGGUGCAUUAUCCUGCUGAAGGGCCAUUGUCAUCGGGGAACACUAUUGCCACAACAGAGUGCACAUGGUCUGCAACAAUCUCUAGGUAUGUGAUAUGUGUCAAAGUAACAUCCACAUGAAUGCCAGGACCCAAGGUUUCCCAGCAGAACAUUGCCCAGAGCAUUACACUGUCUCCAUCAGCCUCCCUUCUUCCCAUAGUGCAUCCUGCUGCCCUCUCUCUGCCUCAGGUAAAUGAUGCACAAACAUCUGGCCAUCCAACUGAUCUUU
Pogona vitticeps (central bearded dragon) is the source of this 307-nucleotide non-coding RNA. The record is from RefSeq and is a predicted model, not a curated record. Lineage: Eukaryota; Metazoa; Chordata; Lepidosauria; Squamata; Agamidae.